UAGGGAAUAUUGGUCAAUGGACGCAAGUCUGAACCAGCCAUGCCGCGUGCAGGACGAAGGCCCUCUGGGUCGUAAACUGCUUUUGUACGGGAAGAACAGCCUCCACGAGUUGGGGGUUUGACGGUACUGUAAGAAUAAGGAUCGGCUAACUACGUGCCAGCAGCCGCGGUAAUACGUAGGAUCCGAGCGUUGUCCGGAUUUAUUGGGUUUAAAGGGUGCGCAGGCGGCCCGAUAAGUCAGUGGUGAAAGCCGGCAGCUCAACUGUCGAAUUGCCAUUGAUACUGUUGGGCUUGAGUAUAGUUGAGGUUGGCGGAAUGUAUCAUGUAGCGGUGAAAUGCAUAGAUAUGAUACAGAACACCGAUUGCGAAGGCAGCUGACUAAGCUAUUACUGACGCUCAUG
RNAcentral lists this ribosomal RNA (400 nucleotides) under uncultured bacterium. RNAcentral's name for it is "bacterial SSU rRNA". It matches the Rfam family "Bacterial small subunit ribosomal RNA", at positions 355 to 751 of the family's 1533-position model. The record is from RNAcentral.